AUAAAUUAAAGUUUGGGUUUCAAGAGAAGAGAGUCAAUUGGGGGUUAGGGUUUUUAACCUCAAUUUAGGGACCAAAUUGAGUCAAAACAGUUUACGUUGCCAUGUCAGCUAGCUGUUGUGCUGACAGCGUGUCACGAACGAGUCCAAGUCAGCUUUCCGGUUGCGCCAGCUAGACGAAAUUGGCCGGAAGGACGAGUCUGAGUUCCGGAGUGCAACUUCAGGGAUGAAUAUGAGUAAUUUUUAACUUCAGGGAUCACUAUGAGGCUCGACGAUAACUUUAGGGACCACUUUGAGACUUAUC
This is a non-coding RNA of Arachis ipaensis, 301 nucleotides long. The record is from RefSeq and is a predicted model, not a curated record. NCBI's taxonomy places the organism in Eukaryota, Viridiplantae, Streptophyta, Magnoliopsida, Fabales, Fabaceae.